GCCUUGCUGACGAGUGCCAACUAGCACGAAACCUAGGUCACUCAAGGC
This 48-nucleotide non-coding RNA is filed under the name Trichobilharzia regenti. Lineage: Eukaryota; Metazoa; Platyhelminthes; Trematoda; Strigeidida; Schistosomatidae. The record is from RNAcentral.